Molecule: long non-coding RNA, 2543 nt
Filed under: Citrus sinensis (sweet orange)
Lineage: Eukaryota; Viridiplantae; Streptophyta; Magnoliopsida; Sapindales; Rutaceae
Description: long non-coding RNA (CSIN_LNC001497)
Source: RNAcentral
GUCCACAUUUUGUUCUACUUGUAAAUUAUUGGUUGAAAUAAAAUUGCUCACUUUCUUUUUGGCCACUGAUUUGAACAUUGCCUGAUUUUGCUAAUGGUUACUCCAUCUUCUGUCUAAGGCAUUAAAAGUACCAAUCCCAAUUGUGUUUGUAGUGUUUCAUUCAUGCCUUAUAUGGAUGGAGGUGUUACUUAAUAGAUGUCCAAAUUAGUAGCCUUUUUCCUGAAUAAUAUUGCAUUUCAAUUGCUUCAUUUGUUUAGUCACGUUCAUGCCUCGUGUGCUUGUCAGGCGGAAAGGGAAUUGCAACCUUGGAUAGCCAAAGAUGAUGAUCAGGGUCAGAAGAUGUGGAGAAUCAACCAGCGGAUUGUAAAACUUAUUGUGGAGCUGAUGAGAAUUUAUGACAGUCCAGAGUCACUGGUAAUAUUGGCAAGCGCAUCAGACCUGCUUCUACGUGCCACAGACGGGAUGCUUGUUGAUGGUGAAGCUUGCACACUGCCACAACUUGAGGUAACAUCUCCUAAGAAUAUGUUUUGAAGUCUCCUGUUCACCCAUAUUGUAGACCUAGUCUAUCUUGUUGUUAAGCAUCAGAAAUCUGCUUAGUUGAAAAUUUACCGAAGCUUAGAUAAUAGACCUAGUGCUAUAUUUGCUUCCGAAAGCAUUGCCAAUGCUUGGUUGUCUUAUUGGUGUUCCCACAUACAUUGAAUUGGUAGUUACUGGAAGCAACAGCUAGAGCAAUUCAGCCCAUCCUGCGGUGGGGAAAGUCUGGAUUAGCAAUUGCAGAUGGUCUUUCAAACCUUUUAAAGGUAAAAAACAAUAAAAGUAAAACUAUUACUACAGUUAUUUUGGUCUGGAGUAGCAUUGUUCACUUAUACUUUCCAACAAUGUUUGCAGUGUCGUCUACCUGCAACGAUCCGAUGCCUUUCUCAUCCAAGUGCCCAUGUCCGUGCACUGAGCACUUCAGUUCUUCGUGACUUUUUACAUACCAGUUCGUUCAAAUCAAAUAUUGAGCAAGUAGAGAGAAAUGGCAUCCAUGGGUCUUCGUUACACUACUUCAAUAUUGAUGCAAUUAACUGGCAAUCUGACAUCGAAAAAUGCUUAACUUGGGAAGCCCAUAGCCGACUUGCAACAGGAAUGCCGAUUCAGUUUCUUGAUAUCGCUGCCAAGGAAUUAGGUUGUACAAUAUCUAUAUGAAAUAAAAUAACCUACAGCAGUCAUUUGAGGUUUGUGAUUAUAAUUUAUUUUUCCAAGUGAGAUUUAUGGAUGGUAAUAACCAGAUCAAUUGCUUUGAAAGAUAUCAUUUGGUUUUUAAUCUGUGUUUGCUCUUCAGGCGUGUUUGUGUAUGGUACUAAAGCAAAAUAGAUGGGGUUGUGAUCAUGGUCAUAUGUGUUGUUAUAUAUAGGCUGAAGCUCUAACUUUGCUGGUUAGAUUACUAGAUGUAAUUUAGAUUUUCUGCAGACCGGGAUUGGAUGAAGAGGCAAAAUGAGGGUGCGUUUGGGAUGGAGGUGCUGUAGUUUUUAAGUUAUAGCUGCUAUGGAAAAAAAAUUAUAAUUAUGAAAUAAAAGUUAGUAAUAAGAUUCAUUGCUAGUGAAAUAACCUCGAUUUAUGUAACCAAUAUACAUGAGACCUAUGCAGUUGUUGUAUAUCACUAUCAAUAUAUGUCUUGACCUUCUAUGUUUGUUUGUGCAGGUGGUUGACGCACUGUGCAAUGUUGUCUCGGCAUCACCCACGAAAGCGGCUACAGCUGUUGUUCUUCAGGUCCACAUUUUGUUCUACUUGUAAAUUAUUGGUUGAAAUAAAAUUGCUCACUUUCUUUUUGGCCACUGAUUUGAACAUUGCCUGAUUUUGCUAAUGGUUACUCCAUCUUCUGUCUAAGGCAUUAAAAGUACCAAUCCCAAUUGUGUUUGUAGUGUUUCAUUCAUGCCUUAUAUGGAUGGAGGUGUUACUUAAUAGAUGUCCAAAUUAGUAGCCUUUUUCCUGAAUAAUAUUGCAUUUCAAUUGCUUCAUUUGUUUAGUCACGUUCAUGCCUCGUGUGCUUGUCAGGCGGAAAGGGAAUUGCAACCUUGGAUAGCCAAAGAUGAUGAUCAGGGUCAGAAGAUGUGGAGAAUCAACCAGCGGAUUGUAAAACUUAUUGUGGAGCUGAUGAGAAUUUAUGACAGUCCAGAGUCACUGGUAAUAUUGGCAAGCGCAUCAGACCUGCUUCUACGUGCCACAGACGGGAUGCUUGUUGAUGGUGAAGCUUGCACACUGCCACAACUUGAGGUAACAUCUCCUAAGAAUAUGUUUUGAAGUCUCCUGUUCACCCAUAUUGUAGACCUAGUCUAUCUUGUUGUUAAGCAUCAGAAAUCUGCUUAGUUGAAAAUUUACCGAAGCUUAGAUAAUAGACCUAGUGCUAUAUUUGCUUCCGAAAGCAUUGCCAAUGCUUGGUUGUCUUAUUGGUGUUCCCACAUACAUUGAAUUGGUAGUUACUGGAAGCAACAGCUAGAGCAAUUCAGCCCAUCCUGCGGUGGGGAAAGUCUGGAUUAGCAAUUGCAGAUGGUCUUUCAAAC